This 447-nucleotide ribosomal RNA is filed under the name uncultured bacterium. RNAcentral's name for it is "bacterial SSU rRNA". It matches the Rfam family "Bacterial small subunit ribosomal RNA", at positions 329 to 792 of the family's 1533-position model. The record is from RNAcentral.
UGCCAGACUCCUACGGGAGGCAGCAGUGGGGAAUAUUGCACAAUGGGGGAAACCCUGAUGCAGCAACGCCGCGUGGGUGAAGGAGCGUUUCGGCGCGUAAAGCCCUGUCAGCGGGGAAGAAGAAAGACGGUACCCGACCAAGAAGCCCCGGCUAACUACGUGCCAGCAGCCGCGGUAAUACGUAGGGGGCAAGCGUUAUCCGGAUUUACUGGGUGUAAAGGGAGCGUAGACGGCAGCGCAAGUCUGGAGUGAAAUGCCGGGGCCCAACCCCGGAACUGCUUUGGAAACUGUGCAGCUCGAGUGCAGGAGAGGUAAGCGGAAUUCCUAGUGUAGCGGUGAAAUGCGUAGAUAUUAGGAGGAACACCAGUGGCGAAGGCGGCUUACUGGACUGUAACUGACACUGAGGCACGAAAGCGUGGGGAGCAAACAGGAUUAGAUACCCUAGUA